RNAcentral lists this ribosomal RNA (2845 nucleotides) under Loktanella sp. M215. Its description in RNAcentral is "23S ribosomal RNA". It matches the Rfam family "Bacterial large subunit ribosomal RNA". Lineage: Bacteria; Pseudomonadati; Pseudomonadota; Alphaproteobacteria; Rhodobacterales; Roseobacteraceae. The record is from RNAcentral.
GAUCAAAUCAAGCGCGAAAAGGGCGUUUGGUGGAUGCCUUGGCAGUAAGAGGCGAUGAAGGACGUGAUACUCUGCGAUAAGCCAUGGGGAGCUGAGAAUAAGCUUUGAUCCAUGGAUUUCCGAAUGGGGCAACCCACCUGAUAUUUUGUUGUUACUGUCGCAAGACAGCUAACAGCGGGAUAAACCAGGUAUUUCUAGACUGAAUACAUAGGUUUAGAAAAGCAAACCCGGGGAACUGAAACAUCUAAGUACCCGGAGGAAAGGAAAUCAACAGAUACUCCCCUAGUAGCGGCGAGCGAACGGGGACCAGCCGAGCCAUGAGAGUGACAAGAAUAUCCUGGAAAGGAUAGCCAGAGUGGGUGACAGCCCCGUAUUGGAAGCUCAAUUGGACGUAUUAAGUAGGGCGGGACACGUGAAAUCCUGUCUGAACAUCGGAGGACCACCUUCGAAGGCUAAGUACUCCUUACUGACCGAUAGCGAACCAGUACCGUGAGGGAAAGGUGAAAAGCACCCCGACGAGGGGAGUGAAACAGUACCUGAAACCGAACGCCUACAAGCAGUUGGAGGGUCCUUGAGGCCUGACAGCGUACCUUUUGUAUAAUGGGUCAUCGACUUGGUCUCACAAGCAAGCUUAAGCCGUUAGGUGUAGGCGCAGCGAAAGCGAGUCUUAAUAGGGCGAUUGAGUUUGUGGGAUCAGACCCGAAACCGAGUGAUCUAGGCAUGUCCGGGAUGAAGGUUAGGUAACACUAACUGGAGGUCCGAACCCACACCUGUUGAAAAAGGUCGGGAUGAGGUGUGCCUAGGGGUGAAAGGCCAAUCAAACUCGGAGAUAGCUGGUUCUCUGCGAAAUCUAUUUAGGUAGAGCGUCGUCCGAAUACCCUCGGGGGUAGAGCACUGGAUGGGUAAUGGGGCCUUACCGGCUUACUGAUCCUAACCAAACUCCGAAUACCGAGGAGUACUAGACGGCAGACACACAUCGGGUGCUAACGUCCGGUGUGAAGAGGGAAACAACCCUGACCUACGACUAAGGCCCCUAAUUCAUGGCUAAGUGGGAAAGCAGGUGGGACGGCCAAAACAACCAGGAGGUUGGCUUAGAAGCAGCCAUCCUUUAAAGAUAGCGUAACAGCUCACUGGUCUAAACAAGCUGUCCUGCGGCGAAGAUGUAACGGGGCUCAAGCCAUGAGCCGAAGUCUAGGGUGUAUAGCAAUAUACGCGGUAGCAGAGCGUAGUGUGACAUAGUUCCAUGUCUCUUCAGCAGUUUAGGCUGCUUUGGAGACGCGGAGCUUUCUGUGAAGCCCCCCUGUGAGGGAUGGGGUGGAGAGAUCACUAGUGAGAAUGAUGACAUGAGUAGCGACAAAGGGAGUGAGAGACUCCCUCGCCGAAAGUCCAAGGGUUCCUGCUUAAAGCUAAUCUGAGCAGGGUAAGCCGACCCCUAAGGCGAGGCCGAAAGGCGUAGUCGAUGGGAACCAGGUUAAUAUUCCUGGGCCGUGGAGUGGUGACGGAUCUGAAACGUAGUUCAUCCUUAUCGGAUUGAAUGGGCUGCCAACAGGUUCCUGGAAAUAGCCCUCCUAUAAGAUCGUACCCUAAACCGACACAGGUGGACUGGUAGAGAAUACCAAGGCGCUUGAGAGAACCACAUUUAAGGAACUCGGCAAAAUACCUCCGUAAGUUCGCGAGAAGGAGGCCCGUUCAGAACGCAAGUUUUGGGCGGGGGCACAAACCAGGGGGGUGGCGCCGGUUUACAAAAAAAACAGGGCUCUGCGAAGUCGCAAGACGACGUAUAGGGUCUGACGCCUGCCCGGUGCCUGAAGGUUAAAAGGAGGAGUGCAAGCUCCGAAUUGAAGCCCAGGUAAACGGCGGCCGUAACUAUAACGGUCCUAAGGUAGCGAAAUUCCUUGUCGGGUAAGUUCCGACCUGCACGAAUGGCGUAACGACUUCCCCGCUGUCUCAAAUGUGGACUCAGCGAAAUUGAAUUGCCUGUCAAGAUGCAGGCUACCCGCGGUUAGACGGAAAGACCCCAUGCACCUUUACUAUAGCUUCACACUGGCAUCAGGUACAGCAUGCGCAGGAUAGGUGGUAGGCUUUGAAGCCGGGACUCUGGUCCUGGUGGAGCCUCCCUUGAGAUACCACCCUUGCUCUGCUUGAUGUCUAACCGCGGUCCGUUAUCCGGAUCCGGGACCCUGUGUGGUGGGUAGUUUGACUGGGGCGGUCGCCUCCCAAAUUGUAACGGAGGCGCGCGAAGGUUGGCUCAGAGCGGUCGGAAAUCGCUCGUUGAGUGCAAUGGCAGAAGCCAGCCUGACUGCAAGACUGACAAGUCGAGCAGAGUCGAAAGACGGCCAUAGUGAUCCGGUGGUCCCGCGUGGAAGGGCCAUCGCUCAACGGAUAAAAGGUACGCUGGGGAUAACAGGCUGAUGGUGCCCAAGAGUCCAUAUCGACGGCACCGUUUGGCACCUCGAUGUCGGCUCAUCUCAUCCUGGGGCUGGAGCAGGUCCCAAGGGUACGGCUGUUCGCCGUUUAAAGAGGUACGUGAGCUGGGUUUAGAACGUCGUGAGACAGUUCGGUCCCUAUCUUCCGUGGGUGUAGGAUACUUGAGAGGAGUUGCCCCUAGUACGAGAGGACCGGGGUGAACGAUCCACUGGUGGACCUGUUGUCGUGCCAACGGCAGUGCAGGGUAGCUAUGAUCGGACAGGAUAACCGCUGAAGGCAUCUAAGCGGGAAGCCCCCCUCAAAACAAGGUAUCCCUGAGGACCGAGGUAGACCACCUCGUCGAUAGGCCAGAGAUGUAAGCGCAGCAAUGUGUUCAGUUGACUGGUACUAAUGGUCCGAUAGGCUUGAUUUGAUCCAG